UGGUAGUNCACGCCGUAAACGAUGAGUGCUAGGUGUUAGGCCCUUUCCGGGGCUUAGUGCCGGAGCUAACGCAAUAAGCACUCCGCCUGGGGAGUACGACCGCAAGGUUGAAACUCAAAGGAAUUGACGGGGGCCCGCACAAGCGGUGGAGCAUGUGGUUUAAUUUGAAGCAACGCGAAGAACCUUACCAGGUCUUGACAUCCCGAUGCUAUUCUUAGAGAUAGGAAGUUACUUCGGUACAUCGGAGACAGGUGGUGCAUGGUUGUCGUCAGCUCGUGUCGUGAGAUGUUGGGUUAAGUCCCGCAACGAGCGCAACCCCUAUUGUUAGUUGCCAUCAUUAAGUUGGGCAUUCUAGCGAGACUGCCGGUAAUAAACCGGAGGAAGGUGGGGAUGACGUCAAAUCAUCAUGCCCCUUAUGACCUGGGCUACACACGUGCUACAAUGGUCGGUACAACGAGUUGCGAGCCGGUGACGGCAAGCUAAUCUCUGAAAGCCGAUCUCAGUUCGGAUUGGAGGCUGCAACUCGCCUCCAUGAAGUCGGAAUCGCUAGUAAUCGCGGAUCAGCACGCCGCGGUGAAUACGUUCCCGGGCCUUGUACACACCGCCCGUCACACCACGAGAGUUUGUAACACCCGAAGUCGGUGAGGUAACCUUUUAGGGGCCAGCCGC
RNAcentral lists this ribosomal RNA (669 nucleotides) under uncultured bacterium. RNAcentral describes it as "bacterial SSU rRNA". It matches the Rfam family "Bacterial small subunit ribosomal RNA", at positions 788 to 1456 of the family's 1533-position model. The record is from RNAcentral.